AAGAGUUAUAGGUUACUUUAAAAUUUGUCCAGAUGGCAUGCCCAUUGGCAUGCCCAA
This 57-nucleotide small nuclear RNA is filed under the name Penaeus monodon (black tiger shrimp). RNAcentral's name for it is "U7 small nuclear RNA". It matches the Rfam family "U7 small nuclear RNA". From Rfam's summary of the family: Animal histone pre-mRNAs are spliced by a different mechanism than nuclear pre-mRNAs and self-splicing introns. This processing involves the U7 snRNP, which contains only one RNA species: U7. The 5' end of U7 RNA is thought to base-pair to a conserved spacer element downstream of the cleavage site in histone pre-mRNA. Lineage: Eukaryota; Metazoa; Arthropoda; Malacostraca; Decapoda; Penaeidae. The record is from RNAcentral.